Long non-coding RNA from Orussus abietinus, 1498 nucleotides. RefSeq lists it as uncharacterized. NCBI's taxonomy places the organism in Eukaryota, Metazoa, Arthropoda, Insecta, Hymenoptera, Orussidae. The record is from RefSeq and is a predicted model, not a curated record. The transcript has 4 exons.
CGGCAUAAUGCACUUUUACGGUCAUUUUCUCCCUGGACGUGCGCCUUCAAUUAUCCGGAUUUUCCGGGACACGUUUGUGCAUAAGUGAUCUCUUCUGUCGGUGUAUAUAAAACAUGGCGAGUGCGAUAAACGAACACGGAGUUGCAGUACGAGUUGUAGGACGAGUUGCAACCCGAGGUGCAAUCAGAAUCUACGGUGCACUUUGUGCGAACAUUCGCGCACUUUAACGACCAUGAAGAAGGUCCUGGCGAUCUGCAUCCUGGCGAGCUUUAUCCUUCAAGUGUAUCUGCGACCCAACAAGCCGACCAAGCCGAAUACACCUGAAGACUUCAUACAAGUCUUGUCAGAUUUGGUGGACGGUGACCGGAAACAAUUUCUCGAUAAAGCCGAAACGGAUUUGAAGGGCUCCAUUUCAUCGAUGCGGCAGAACAUAAAGGAGAGCAUGACGAAAAUGGGAUGAAAUAUCUUCCAUUGUAUUUAUUAAUGUUUUCCAAAAUGCCCAGGGGCUCAAAAGGAUUUCCAAAGGCUCCCUUGGACGCAAUUAAUUACUCUAAUUCCCCUGGCGAGUUGUUCAUUUUUGUCCCCACUCUUAAUCUCGGGAAUCUCUGAAAUCUCUGAAAUCUCGGGAAUCUCCAUGUGUAAUUAAACGGUUAAACUCCGACGAUACUGCGGGGAAUAAAUUAGCGUUUGAUAAAAAAUGGCCGUGAUUACGUUCAGCGACUAUGCAGGGGACAAUGCAGGGCAUUAUAAAUAACAAAGCGGGCCAUGUGCAUAUUAAUUCCGUGAAAUGAAAAGUCGGGAUAAAAGGACCUCCCUCUCUUCUUCACGCGUCUAGAUAGUCACGUGACUCUUCACCUCUCCGCGUUCACAUAUUGAAACUGUAAUAAUUAUUCCGUGCGUCUAGGUUCAUACGAGGUUCAGACGGCUCGAGUGCCACCCUGGUCGUUCCCUGCACCCUUCAUGGCCGACAGGAUGGCACAAGGGACGAAGUUAGGGGUGUGUUCGGCGCACCUCGUUAAAAAUGCACGCGUCACGAGCUUCUUUGCAUGGCGCAUGCAUCGCGAGAUGCACGGCCGGUCCCCCUGCAUCCCGAUGCACCGAGACGGAUGCUGCAUCUUCCGAAAUUCCGAUCAGCUGGAAACUAUUGAUUGCAGAAGAAGGCACUUAGAAUCUCGCCCAAAAUUAAAAGGGGCGGCCGAAUUUCCUCUAGAAUUUCGGAAACCGCGCCAAAUGUACACACUUCCAUACGUACAUAUACGUAUGCACGAAGCCAUGUAACUCUUCGUGGAUCAAGACUGGGAUUACGAUUACACCAGGAUAUAUCCGAGCAGAAAUUUGAGCCCUCUUUUGAACUUGCAUAACGUAAGACCUCCUUUGGUCCUGUUUAAUUUCUCUAAGUCUCUUUACCUUCGUACGUCCUGAUUUAUUGUCGAAUGAAGUCUUAUCUUAGGUCUACAAAUAAGAAAACUGGAAAUAUCUGUCAUUUUAAGGUAAAAAA